GGAUUUUUACGGUAGGAGCAUUUCUCUUAAAGAGACAAUACAUCUGACUGCAGUCUCACCCGUGACCUCUGGAGGUGGCGUAGGAGACUUGAGCAUUUCACAAGUUUACACUACAUUAAAAGGUCUAGCUGAUGGUAUUUUCUCGAAACCUCUAGAGAAUCUAUCAUAGUGUAAAUACGACCUUAGAUGUAGUCUCAUGCUAUACUAUGGUCUCAUACUUAGUACAUGUGACAUCAAUAGGUUCCCUUCUCAUCACCGUGGAAGACUCCAGUGUACUUACUGAUGGGACAAGAUGACAUCUCCUCUGGCUAUGGAAGCAGCAGAGUGACGCACAGAGCUGCUGAUCAACUGGUUGCUGACAGGCUGGUCCUGGGGCUGGUUGAGGGUCAACCUCAUCCUCUUCUUCCAAUUCACUAUCAAACUCCGAAUUGACAGAGACAUGAUCCUCAUAUUCUGAAAAUGCUUAAUCUUCCAAAGUGGAAGACGCUCCUUCCACACAAGCUUCUGCCUCUGUAAAAAUGAUUUCUAAGGCCCUCUGAGCAGAGAUCAUUUUUGCCAUACUGAGUGAUUGUGGACCAUUGUUCAGAACAACCAGAGCAACCAGUGAGGAGAAACAACCAUAGAUUCCCAGUAGGCAGGUCCAAUCACCUCUGUUAUCAACUGUUCAAACAGCCUGCAUAUCCACUGUGUACCCACUAC
Molecule: long non-coding RNA, 699 nt
Filed under: Salmo salar (Atlantic salmon)
Lineage: Eukaryota; Metazoa; Chordata; Actinopteri; Salmoniformes; Salmonidae
Description: lncRNA (ENSSSAG00000092482.1)
Source: RNAcentral